Macaca fascicularis (crab-eating macaque) is the source of this 148-nucleotide unclassified non-coding RNA. It matches the Rfam family "Metazoan signal recognition particle RNA". From Rfam's summary of the family: The signal recognition particle (SRP) is a universally conserved ribonucleoprotein. It is involved in the co-translational targeting of proteins to membranes. The record is from Ensembl. NCBI's taxonomy places the organism in Eukaryota, Metazoa, Chordata, Mammalia, Primates, Cercopithecidae.
GCUGGGCAUGGUGGUGCACACCUGUGGUCCCAGCUACUCUGGAGGCUGAGGCAGGAGGAUCACUUGAGCCCAGGAGUUCAAGGCUGCAGUGAGCCAAGAUUGCAUCACUGCACUCCUGCCUGGGCAACAGAGCAAGACCCUGCCUCAC